This 404-nucleotide ribosomal RNA is filed under the name Actinomycetes bacterium. Its description in RNAcentral is "Actinobacteria bacterium partial 16S ribosomal RNA". It matches the Rfam family "Bacterial small subunit ribosomal RNA", at positions 355 to 776 of the family's 1533-position model. The record is from RNAcentral. Lineage: Bacteria; Bacillati; Actinomycetota; Actinomycetes.
UGGGGAAUAUUGGACAAUGGGCGCAAGCCUGAUCCAGCCAUGCCGCGUGAGUGAUGAAGGCCCUAGGGUUGUAAAGCUCUUUCACCGGUGAAGAUAAUGACGGUAACCGGAGAAGAAGCCCCGGCUAACUUCGUGCCAGCAGCCGCGGUAAUACGAAGGGGGCUAGCGUUGUUCGGAUUUACUGGGCGUAAAGCGCACGUAGGCGGACUUUUAAGUCAGGGGUGAAAUCCCGGGGCUCAACCCCGGAACUGCCUUUGAUACUGGAAGUCUUGGGUAUGGUAGAGGUGAGUGGAAUUCCGGGUGUAGAGGUGAAAUUCGUAGAUAUUCGGAGGAAACCCAGUGGCGAAGGCGGCUCACUGGACCAUUACUGACGCUGAGGUGCGAAAGCGUGGGGAGCAAACAGG